RNAcentral lists this transfer RNA (73 nucleotides) under Neurospora tetrasperma FGSC 2508. RNAcentral's name for it is "tRNA-Asn (ATT) (tRNA-Asn-ATT-2-1)". It matches the Rfam family "tRNA". Rfam says of the family: Transfer RNA (tRNA) molecules are approximately 80 nucleotides in length. Their secondary structure includes four short double-helical elements and three loops (D, anti-codon, and T loops). RNAcentral also lists the same sequence under 1 other name. The record is from RNAcentral. Lineage: Eukaryota; Fungi; Ascomycota; Sordariomycetes; Sordariales; Sordariaceae.
AGUUCCAUAGUUUAGUAGUUAGAGCGUUGGAAUAUUAACCCAAAGGUCGUAGGUUCAAAUUUUACUGGGACUA